This 377-nucleotide long non-coding RNA is filed under the name Ornithorhynchus anatinus (platypus). Its description in RNAcentral is "lncRNA (ENSOANG00000042703.1)". The record is from RNAcentral. Lineage: Eukaryota; Metazoa; Chordata; Mammalia; Monotremata; Ornithorhynchidae.
CACAGCCAGGACCCAGUACUCCAGAUAAAUCAAUAUUCUUUCCUCUCCUUUGCUCCUAGGUCGAAGACUGAGUGUUGAUUCAUAUGAAAAAUAUCUUUUUCACUUCAAAACUCUCAGCCAGGAAAUGAACUUCAGUGGAAAGAAUAUAAACCUAUUUGAAGACAUAGAUCAGUGUGCCAAAAUUAUCAGUGAGUCUCCAAAAGGUUCUCCUAUCAAGAUUUUCUGAAUCUUCAUCUCUGCAAUGCUGCUACUUGGCUUCACCCUCCAAGUCUCCUCCUCUGGCUCCUUCCUCCACCCUCCCAUCCACCUGGAAUCAGGACUCUUCUUGGUUUGCUGAUUGAAUGUGCCUCUGAGGGGAAAAUUCAAAUAAACAGAGA